This is a long non-coding RNA of Bactrocera dorsalis (oriental fruit fly), 2466 nucleotides long. RefSeq lists it as uncharacterized. The record is from RefSeq and is a predicted model, not a curated record. NCBI's taxonomy places the organism in Eukaryota, Metazoa, Arthropoda, Insecta, Diptera, Tephritidae. The transcript has 3 exons.
UUUACAGUUCCUUUGUGUCGAACUACUUUCUGUUGUAUAAUAAUAUUUUCCUAUAUUUUUUUGAAUAAUGUAUGUUAUAUAAUCCAUACAUAGUAAAUAUAUGAAACAAUAGUUCAUUUUGAUUCAUUUACAUAUAUCUCUAAAUAUGAAACAGAAAAAUGUUUAAUUAUAUUUUCAGGACACAAAGUAUGGCAACACUGCUAUUUGUCAUAAAUGUAAACACACAAAUCUCUUGAAAGUUUGAAUGUGCAAAAUAGUUUUUAAAAUAUAUUUAUUUUCUUAAAAAAACACAAUUAGUGAAAAAUUUUUGAUAUAUUUGAAUGUGUACAGUGUAAUUAAAUAUAUAUUGAUUGAAAAAUGUGUGAAAAGUGGGUUGAACAUAGUGAAAUAACGAGCAUUAUUUUUACAAAUUUUCCAACUUUAGACAGAAAUAUCUCGAAAACUAUUAGCCUGAGGACAUUUUUUAAUCCUGAGGACUUCCUCUAUCCAUCCGUAUCAUCAAACCGCGGAGCCAAAAGAAUCGUAAUAUUACCCAAUUAUUUGCCCCUGUAUUUUAUUUUUUCCUCACACGCCCCUAUCUUUGAAUUUUAAUUAAAUUUGGUCCAUGUUUAUCCAAUUUGGUUCACUUUAUGGUUCAUAAAUGAAAAGUCAUUCGGCAACUAUAUUGGUAAUAAGAUGCGUGCAGAUCGCAAGAAUGAUAGAGAAAGAGAUUACGCAAUGCGCAUGUUUGCUUUCAGUCAGCUGUUCUUGCUGACGUCACGGUUGACUUAUUUUUCGCCCGCGCUUGUGAAAGUGAAUUCGAAUUGUGUUUUCAAGUGUUGUAUUAAUUGUUAAAUUCUAUAUUUUUAAAAUGCGUUGUGCAGUGUUCGGUCGUAAUAACAAUGGUAAAAAUAGUGCUACGAAGUGGAGAUUUUUUCAUUUUCCUAAGGAUAAGACCGUAGUAAAACAAUGGAUCCAUUUUUGUCGUCGGACGGACAAAAUUAACGUUAAAAAUGCAUGCAUUUUUGUCGUCGGACGGACAAAAUUAACGUUAAAAAUGCAUGCAUUUGUGAAGUGCACUUCGUGCCAGAAGCCUUCGAAAGGAACUUGCAGUCUGAAAUGGGUAAUUAUAGCAUUUUUAUUACAAUAAUUUUACUUUUAUAACCGAACACUCUUCCUGGUUUAAGUUCGCGGAAUCCAACUAAGUUGCUACCUAGCGCUUUUCCCACGUUAACCACUGCUCUUGCAGAGGCUAAUGAACGGCAGAAAAGGAUGGAGUCUCGUUCCAAAAAAGAGAUGUUAACAACAAUGUUGAAGAAUACCGCCUCUGUUGAAGUAAUUCUAGAAGACGAGGUGGGAGAGACACCUCAAACUGCAGGAGAGGAGAUCAUCGAUAAGAAAGACGAGAAAAUACUGCAUUUGGAAACAGAAAUACAAAGGCUGAAUAGUGUUGUUAGAACUUUGAAAAAGUGCAAAAAAACGAGCAGUUAGAGGAUAUUAAACGCCUUAGGAUUUCCAUUAAAACCGCUGAAUUCCACAGAAAUAAUUUAGAGUAAAAACUUAGCUGCAUUUUCACCAACGGCCAGAUUGAAAAAUUAAGGGUUGGAAACAAACGGCGGAAUGGGAAAGAAGAAGACAUAGCUAAGUCGAUCACGCUAUAUUCAACGAGCCCGAAAGCUUACAAACUUUUAACGAGAAACAACUUUCCUCUACCAAGUGUGCGUACUCUGCAAUGGGGGUAAAAAAAAAUUGAGUUAGCUCCAGGUAUCAUAGAGCCGGUGAUGAAACUGUUGAAGGCAGCAACUGAGCUAACACAAGUGCAAAAAGUUUGUGUACUCAGUUUUGAUGAAAUGAAGGUCAGAAACAGUUACUGCUACAAUAGAUCCACUGAUUCGACAUUGCCUCCUGUUAACUACGUUCAGAUUGCAAUGAUAAGAGGUAAUUAAACUCAUUAAUUUACUUGAAGUCAAUUUUUUCUAAUGUACUUUGUUCUUUUAGGUUUGAAAAAUGACGAAGAAAGUAUGGUUUAGCAUUUUGUCAAGCGUUAAAAAAUGCGGUUACAAUAUUGUUGCCAUUGUAAGCGAUUUGGGUGGAUCCAAUAGAGGCUUGGGAGGAUGGAGUCAUGUGUAGAAGUUCACGCAAGUGAGGAAAGUUCUCUGAUCGCCAUUCACUUGGGAGUGGCCAGAAACGAUUCUUUUACAUAUGACUCAAGCAGCUCACGACUUCCGGUCUUUGACCAAGUAUCCUCUGGGUAGCCUAAGAACAUCCGUUUGAAGGCGAGCUAAAGUGAGAAGGCGAAAUAUCCCCUGCAUAGGGUUUGGGACCCGCCACGUAAAAAAACACCCCCAAUGAAAAGAAAAAAACAGCCUCGGACGAGAGACCCCCCUUUUGAUGACGACCAUGGCAAACGAAAUAAGAACAAUGAUUUGAGGGCAUGCACCUGGAAUGUCCGGUCCCUUAAUUGGGAAGGUGCCGCUGCCCAGCUGG